CCCGAAAAGAGGAGGCACCGCGCGCGCGGGAGCGGGGCUGCGGCGGCUGCAGGCGCAUCCCCGGCUGAGCACGCGUUCUGGGGAAGGGAAGGUUGCAGGGCAGUUAUCAAAGGCAGUCGAGUUCCUUUUCCUGACCCUCCCCCCCCCCUUUCCUCCUCGUUUCGAAAUCCGCUGUCCAUUUAAAGAAAUAGCGGUCGCUACCAACCGAAAUAGGUGACUCGACUGCAAAGUUGACAGGACGUGUUCCUGAGGAUAAUAUCCUUCCCCAGGACCACUGCUCUGAAACUGUCAUCGCCGGAUUGGAGGACCCUGAGAUCCUGCCAGGAGAGCAAUAAAUGAUUGGAAGAACAUUGAGGGGAAGUUAAGUCGAUGCUCCUCUGUCUUUUCAGUCAUCUUUCUAGAAGUAACAACAAUAAAUAGCUUCUGGUUUGCUACUGGACCUUAGAAGAAAUUGACUACUUGACUUUGGAUGACCGAGUCAUCAUGGAACUUAAACUGCCCAUUUUGAGCUAGGUGUUGUUUGACCCACUAAGCCAUUAUGUUGGGCAUGCACAGCUCACUCCAGCAUGAGUGGAAGUAAUAUACAAGACUGAGCUUAAGCAGAUCCUGAAGGAACAAAGAUAGUCAAUUGGCAAAUAUUCCAUGUGCUGCCCCACAUUUAGGGGCAGCGACAUGAGUAAUCCUGAAUAAUAGGAAUGAAAGUGACUGUUACUUCAGGUACACAGCUGGAAAAGGAUACCCAGUUCCUUCAAAAUACACAAGGAUGGAAAUGUUCAAAUUGUAAAUUUCAGAAUGAAUAUCCCAAAAUGGAGAAUGUGAGCAGAAGUGAUGUGGCAUUUUCGGGUCAAGAUUUAAGAAGCAAGUGUACGUUCUCCAUCAUCAUUUUCAUUCUACCAGCUGAAUUCAUUUGAAGAUGAGGACCCAACAGAAGACUAAACCCCAAGAUGGAAGGAGAUUGCAUCUUUGAACUACAUAACAGAGGAAAACUGCCCACCAACUGAGAGCACUUACCCUAGUUGGUUAAAUGAAUGAGAAAUAAACCUCUACUACAUUUCUGCUACAUAUUCUGGAGACUACUAUUUACUGCCCCUAGCCUUAUCCUAAUUAAUACAGAAAUUGACUCUUUGAAGGAAUGUUGCUAUAUUAAAAAGCUAAAGUAAAUACAUUUGGCCAAACAUUUGGGCAGCAGGUGGCAAAGAAACAUGUUGGGUGCUGGAGAGGUGGAGACCCAUGCUAUGUGUUGGCAAAGCAUUUUUAAAACUAUAUCUAUGAUAACUUAAAAGGCAGAAUCUAUUACAACAAUGGACUAGUGACUGCUAUAUGUUCUUCUCUUUCUUAAUAGUUUUUAUUAUGAUUAUCUCGUUCCUGUUUUAUCAUCAUAUAAUGAGCAGUGCAGGUAACUUCUCUAUAUGUUUGUAUAUCAUAGUACUGAGAGAGCUUUAGAUGGGAAGACUUCAUAUCUCCCAAAAUGCUGGACUUUGAGCCAAACGCUCGAACUAGAUAGGACUAUAAUAUGUAUCCUUAGAGUGAGCAAAAAAGGGUGUGCUUGAAUAUUUAGUGAAAAGAAUGGCAGACUGAGGAAGAGCCAAAACUUGUUAUCUCUUCCAAAUUUCGUCUAACCUAAGAUUUCAUUGGUUGUCAAAACCACAAUUUUCUGUACUACUAAGAAAGAAAAAAUACUGCCAACUAAAUAUGAAUUUGCUUUGAAUAUUUGUCCUUGAUUGAAUAACGCAUUCUUAUCAAAGAGAUGAUAAAGUGUGAAAAAUGUAUAGAUGAGGAGUAAUGAAAAAUAUUAAUUUUUUUCUGAGAACUGACUGUCCCAUCUAAAAUAAUAUUUUCUAAUCUCCUCUGUGCCCAGCUGUUGCCUUGAGAUUAUUUCUCACAAAUAGAUUAUGAAUGGAAGUGAGAUGUGUCACUUCUGGGCCAGAUUCUUUAAUAUGUGUAUACCUUGUCCAUACUCUCUUUUUUCUUCUGUAGCUAAAAGCAGAUGACAGUGAGAUCUAGGAGAUGGCAGAGCCACAAAGGGAAAAAAGAAAAAAGAAAACAAGCCUGGUUUCCUGAAUCACCAAAUGGAAGAAAGCCACCACAGACCAGAAAUUCCCAUACCGGUCUAUGAUGUGAUCAAGAAAUAAACUUCAAUUUUCUUUAAGUAUUCUAUGACAAUAUCAAGAAGGCAUUGAGGCACCACAAAGAACACCAGAUUGGAAAUUAAGAGACCUGAGUCCUGGGUUUUCUUGUUACCUAAUUUAUUGUUUGAAUUUCAGCGGAUCUCAUAACAACUUUAGGCCUUGAUGUUUUCAUUUGCAAACUGAGGAAGUAGAUCAAGAUUAUUGGUAAGUUGCUGUAAUCGGUGUUUCCUAAUCCUGUGGAAGUUAUGGAUUCAUUUUCAAAUAUGAAAAUACUGCUUCCUUCCUCUUUCUUUAAGAAUAUCUUCUAUAGUUGGAGGACUCCUAGAGCUGGAAGGAAAUUUGAGCAAGCUAGAUCAUCCAUGUCAUUUUCUUCCAGUCUCUUACUUUUACUUAUCAGUACUUCUUGUUUAUUCAUUUUGUUUAUUCAUUUAGUAACUCAAUGUUUUUACUUCAAAUAAUGACAUGGACAAUACCACUUAAAAUCCAUUUCUCAUGUAAGAAUCCUUUAUUCAUUCAUUCUCCUUGGGUCUGUCACUGUGUUCCAUGUUGUGGGUAUAAUGGUAAAUAAGAUAGACAUUUCCUUUCUACUAGAGAGACUGACAAAAAGAAGUUACCAAAAAAAUUAAUAAAAUAACUUUAAACUGUGAUAAUUACUGUGAAAGAAAUACACAUGACAUUGAGGAAUUAUAGGGAAAAAUCAUUUUAAUAAAGAGGGGUCAGGAAGACCUAUCUGAAAAGGUGACAGUUAAGCUGCAAUUAAAAAAAGAUAUGAAAAUAUUUGCAUGUAAAAGAGGAAGAAAAGGUAUUCAUACAGAAGGACUAACAUGUGCUAAGGUCCUGUGACAGAAAAGGAUGGAAUGUGGUUUAGAAACUUAAAGAACAGUAUCGACACAAGAAUGUCCAAACGUAUAGAAAACUUAUGAGUUUACUGGAGCCAAACUGAGGACAUGCCCCAAAGCAAGAUCUCAAAAUGCUCCGGAGAAAAGUAGUUUUGCAGUUCUUUUUAUAUAUUUGAAGCUAAAGGUUGGGGAAAUGAGGAAGGUUACGUGAAAUCCGUUGGUGGUAGAUUAAAGAGAUGGAGAAAGCAAGGUGGGGAGAUCCUCAUGAGUGGAUAAAAAGCAAAAUGAAGAGAUGCUCUUACACUGAUCUAUACAAGAUAAUUAACAUUUAACAUUUACAUUGAACAAGGCUGGUAUAUAGACAACAAGAUCACGUAAUCCCUUGAGGGUAGUUAUGCCUCUAAGGGGUCUGAAAAAGAGGAUCAUUCUGGCAUUACAAAGGUAUGUUAACCUCGAUACACAAGAACAAUGGACAGAGCUUGUUUAAGGCAAAGAUAAACCUUUUACUAAAUAAGUUAUGGGCUGGGAUGUGACUACCCAUCAUGACCCACCCAGUUACAAAUUUAUAAUCAGAUUACCUGUGAAAUUCUCUUUAGCCGCUGAGCUUGUCAGAUUUAUUACAUAGCCCCUUUUUUGUUCACAACAAUAUCUUGUAACUUAAUGAGAAAGAGAAUGGUGCAAGGUGGUGUUGGACAGAUAGCAGGGGCCGGGUUGUAUAGGACAUUUUGGACAUGGUAACUGCUUUGGGUUUGUUCUGCAAGCCUAGCCUCAAAAUCUAUACAUUUCAUUCAAUGUAUUAAUUACUUACUAUCAGCUUUAUUACUUACUUAUUUACUGUAUGUAUGUAUGUAUGUACGUACGUACGUAUGUAUGUAUGUAUAAGCCAGUUCUUGUGCACUAUUUUAGAUUUCCUGGCCUCAGUCAUCUUCAGUUUUUAGCUAUGAAGGAAAAGAAGAACUUUUUUCCUCUACCUUCCUAGGUUUAUUUGUUAGGUCCUGAAAAUAAACUGAUAAGAAAUAGAUUAGCAAGAGAAAAAAAAGGAAGAUUUAGUUGCAUAUACACCCAUGGGGAUUCCCAACAAAUGAAAACUCAAGGAGGUAGCCAGGUGAUUGAAGCUUGAUAUAUUUUAAGAUAAACAAAAGAAAGAAGUUUGGGGCUUCUGGGUGGGAAAUGCAAGUUAUGAGAAGGGGAAGGGAAGAAAUGUGUGGUAAAUAAGGGUUGUUUUGUUAUGCUGCUAAGAGCUGGCUCUGGGUGUAACUCUCUGUCUGGUAAGAGACACCUUUACAAAUGGAAAUUUCCUUUUUAAAUGUAAAUUUCCUUUGCAAAAGGGGAAAUUUAUACUCUAUUGUUAGGCAGUUAGAGGAAAGUAAAGAGCUUUUCCUUCAUCUGCAGGUUCUCAGUUGCCUUUAGCUCAAACUAAUCUGUAGGCCAAAUAGACAUAUUUUGGGGUGGCAUGUUCUGGUACCCUUCAUUCUGCCCUUUAAAGCUUUUUUUUUUCCCCCAUGAAAAGGCAUUUAUGUGGAAACAAAAAGAAAAACAAAGGUUAAUGGAUGAAGCAAAUGAUAAACCCACUUUCAGAGACCAGAGGGAAGUCGGUCAAAAAUAUUUCCAAAUGUUGGGCUUAAAAUAUUUUUAGAUAAUGAAGUGAGGAUGGCAGUGACAAUACGACUUUCAGUUUCCUGCUUUACUGUUUGAAUGUCUUGGUGAUGGCAUAUACGUGAGUGUCACAGUCAUGGUUAUUUUUUCAGAACAGAGCACGGAAACAUCACAUUAGCUAGUAGGACCCUUUUAGAUACUCCCAAUAAGGAUUUGGGCAAUCAGGUGUUAGUUAUCGAUGGUGUCAAAACAGAAGGAUGAGGGAAAAAUUGGAAUUGUUUAAUUACUGACAAAAUAUACAAAACACAGGAGCCAAUUUACAAUGAGGUGAAAACACUCAAAGACAACAAACAUGGCUAGAAUACAGUAACCCACAAAGAUGUACUAUAUCUUUUUUUAUUGAGGCAUAAAUUUUUUUCUCUCUCUGCAAUAACUCUAAUUUUUAUCAAAGAUAAAGUAAGACUAAUUUGCAAAAUAAAUCUAGUCUUAUUAAACUUGGCCUGAUUAUUUACAUAAGAGCAUCAAGGAUAAUAAUUGACCAUUUAGGCUCUUUUAAAUCUGGUUUGCUGGGAAUUUAAAUAAGGGAACUCAGAUCAGACUUUUAAAAACCUCUUGAGACUAAGAAGCCAAACCAAGAAUUUUCUAUUAGCCUUCACCUGCAAUACCUAUAGAUUUGGGUGAAUUCUUCCUUUCUCAAGGUUCCCAAUAUGUUUUAAAGUUCCUAGGCCUGUCAGGAAGUGAUCUUCCUUACUUACUUGGAAUGUCAGAAGUACUAUAAACCAGGUAUCGGUUAGACAUUCCAAGAGGGCUUUGUAAGCAUUGGCUCCACACAGUCAACCCUAGUUCCUUAAAGCUCUCAAGUUAUAUUAAAUUUCAUAUGAAUAUGCAUAAUUCUCAAAUAUGACA
Pteropus alecto (black flying fox) is the source of this 5470-nucleotide long non-coding RNA. RefSeq lists it as uncharacterized. The transcript is spliced from 7 exons. The record is from RefSeq and is a predicted model, not a curated record. NCBI's taxonomy places the organism in Eukaryota, Metazoa, Chordata, Mammalia, Chiroptera, Pteropodidae.